This 393-nucleotide ribosomal RNA is filed under the name Enterococcus faecalis. RNAcentral's name for it is "bacterial SSU rRNA". It matches the Rfam family "Bacterial small subunit ribosomal RNA", at positions 1150 to 1533 of the family's 1533-position model. The record is from RNAcentral. Lineage: Bacteria; Bacillati; Bacillota; Bacilli; Lactobacillales; Enterococcaceae.
UGCCGGUGACAAACCGGAGGAAGGUGGGGAUGACGUCAAAUCAUCAUGCCCCUUAUGACCUGGGCUACACACGUGCUACAAUGGGAAGUACAACGAGUCGCUAGACCGCGAGGUCAUGCAAAUCUCUUAAAGCUUCUCUCAGUUCGGAUUGCAGGCUGCAACUCGCCUGCAUGAAGCCGGAAUCGCUAGUAAUCGCGGAUCAGCACGCCGCGGUGAAUACGUUCCCGGGCCUUGUACACACCGCCCGUCACACCACGAGAGUUUGUAACACCCGAAGUCGGUGAGGUAACCUUUUUGGAGCCAGCCGCCUAAGGUGGGAUAGAUGAUUGGGGUGAAGUCGUAACAAGGUAGCCGUAUCGGAAGGUGCGGCUGGAUCACCUCCUUUCUAAGGAA